This 814-nucleotide ribosomal RNA is filed under the name Montagnula thailandica. Its description in RNAcentral is "partial large subunit ribosomal RNA". It matches the Rfam family "Eukaryotic large subunit ribosomal RNA", at positions 80 to 906 of the family's 3401-position model. Lineage: Eukaryota; Fungi; Ascomycota; Dothideomycetes; Pleosporales; Didymosphaeriaceae. The record is from RNAcentral.
UCAGUAACGGCGAGUGAAGCGGCAACAGCUCAAAUUUGAAAUCUGGCCCCCCUCUGGGGGGUCCGAGUUGUAAUUUGCAGAGGGCGCUUUGGCAUCGGCGGCGGUCUAAGUUCCUUGGAACAGGACAUCGCAGAGGGUGAGAAUCCCGUACGUGGGCGCCUGCCUUUGCCGUGUAAAGCCCCUUCGACGAGUCGAGUUGUUUGGGAAUGCAGCUCUAAAUGGGAGGUAAAUUUCUUCUAAAGCUAAAUACCGGCCAGAGACCGAUAGCGCACAAGUAGAGUGAUCGAAAGAUGAAAAGUACUUUGGAAAGAGAGUCAAAUAGCACGUGAAAUUGUUGAAAGGGAAGCGCUUGCAGCCAGACGUGCGCGCGGUUGCUCACCCCGGCUCUCGCCUGGGGCACUCUUCCGCGCGCAGGCCAGCAUCAGUUCGGGCGGUCGGAUAAAGGCCUCUGUCAAGUACCUUCCCCCGGGAAGGCCUUAUAGGGGAGGCGCAAUGCGACCAGCCCGGACUGAGGUCCGCGCAUCUGCUAGGAUGCUGGCGUAAUGGCUGUAAGCGGCCCGUCUUGAAACACGGACCAAGGAGUCUAACAUCUAUGCGAGUGUUUGGGUGUCAAGCCCGGGCGCGCAAUGAAAGUGAACGGAGGUGGGAUCCCCUUCCGGGGUGCACCAUCGACCGAUCCUGAUGUCUUCGGAUGGAUUUGAGUAAGAGCAUAGCUGUUGGGACCCGAAAGAUGGUGAACUAUGCUUGAAUAGGGUGAAGCCAGAGGAAACUCUGGUGGAGGCUCGCAGCGGUUCUGACGUGCAAAUCGAUCGUC